Homo sapiens (human) is the source of this 2385-nucleotide long non-coding RNA. Ensembl annotates it as TRDN antisense RNA 1. Its record names the gene TRDN-AS1. NCBI's taxonomy places the organism in Eukaryota, Metazoa, Chordata, Mammalia, Primates, Hominidae. The record is from Ensembl.
AUCAACAAAGCUGUUCAAUCUUUGCACCCAGAGGUUGCAGUAAGUCUGGAUGCCACAUCAAACUGUUUGUGGUACUUCUAAACUUCGUGGAAGAGCCCUGUUUCAUAAAUCUGAGACAGCCUUGGUCUGAGGGAGCAAAGACAGAGAAUUCACGUGCUGCCCAGGCAUAGCCACAUAGCAGGUGGACAUCCCUGGACACUUUUCUGACCCUCAUUGGAUUUUCCUGGAAGUACGGAGAGUUACAUCCAGAGAACUCUGAACAUUUUGGAAGGACCCCAAUCCUGCAAACAAUGAAUGGCAAUAAAUCCUGGGACUGGAAAGGUUUAAUGAAGCCAGCUGUCAUGUUGAUGAGACUCAUGUGUCAAGGAACUGAAGAUGGUCCAUAGCCAACAGCCAGCCAGGAACUGAUUGGCUAGUAGUCCUUGAGGAACUGAAUCUCACCAACAACCAUAUAGUGAACUUGCAAAUGGUGCUUCCUCAGUUGAAACUAAAGAUGAGACUGAAGUCCUAGUUAACACUUUGUUUGCCACCUUGUAAGAUUGUGAAACAGAGGCCUGAGCUAAGCCAUGCCCAGAUUCUUGAUCCACAGAAACUGUGAGAUAAUAAAUGUGCAUUGAUUUAAGCCUCAGAUUUUGUGGUAAUGCUUUACAAAGCAAUAAGUAACUAAUGCAGUAUUCAACAAAUUUUUUGAAAAAAAAAAGAUGCUUGAAGACCUGUAUUUAAUUAUUUUUGUGAAGAAUACUCAAUGUAUACUGACUGCACCUGGGUUUUUAGUCUUAACCAAAUCAUAUACCAGUUUUAUGACCUGGCAAAAAUGUUUUUCUCUCUCUCUAGAGGUCACUUUCUUCAUCUGUUAAACGAGGUAAUUAAUUUAGAUGAUCUUUAAAAUGUCCACUAGAUUUCAUACAUCUAUCACAUAUGAUUUCAUGUAUAUGUAAUGAAAACAAAUUUUAUAUAUAUACAAAAUUUAUUUUCACUUGCAUUUAUGAAACAGGAGAAACAAAAUAAAAUUACAUUUAUUUAUUUUAAUUUAAUCUUGAAAGUAAAUUCAUGUUAUCUUCUAAAAAUGUUUCAGUUUACAAUUCAUCCAUAUUAACUUUAAUAAAAUGAUAUUUGGUUAUCUAACGGAAGAUUUAUUGAAAAUAUAUCUGCUUCAAAUAUCUCAUUAUUUUACAUUUAGUAGCUAAACUAAAUCUUAAAAAUGCUUCUGAGUUUUACCUAAAUGGGUAGUUUCUUAAAAAUACUGAAUUGAGGCUUCUAGCUAAUUGCCUAAAAUGUAUAUUUUAAAAGAUAAGGAAGAAAUUUAAAUGUAGGGAAUAAGAUUAAAUUACCAAAUAAAAUCCAUUUUUUCUAGUAAUUGGCAGAUAAAUUUAAUACAGAAAAACUUUGUUAUUCAAUAUGCCAAAAUAUCUAAUAUUAAAGUGAUAUACUAAUAAAUAUAUUUGGCAUAUUAUUAUGGUACUUUCAGUUCUCAAACUUUUAAAGUAAAAAUAUUGAUCAAGAUUUAUGCAUGACCACUUUUUUUUUUUUUUUUUUAUUUAGACAGUCUCACUCUGUUGCCCAGGCCGGAGUGCAGUGGCGCAAUCUCAGCUCACUGCAACCUCUGCGUCCAGGUUUCAAGGUAUUCUCCUGUCUCAGCCUUCUGAGUAGCUGGGAUUACAAGUGUGUGCCACCACACCUGGCUAAUUUUUUAAUUUUUACUAGAGACAGGAUUUCACCAUGUUGUCCAGGCUGGUUUUGAAUUCCUGACCUCAAGUGAUUCACCGGCCUCGGCCUCCCAGAGUGCUGGUAUUACAGAGGUGAGCCACUGUGCCCAGCCAAUUAUUUCUUUUUGAUGCAAGAAAAUCAUUUAUGGUGCAGAAGUUGUCUAUUUGUCUAUUUUUGCUUUGGUUACCUAUGCUUUUGAGGUCUUACUCAAGAAAUCUUUGUCCAUACCAAUGUCCUAAAGUGUUUCCCCAAUGUUUUCUUCAAGUAGUUUCAUAGUUUCAGGUCUUACGUUUAAGUCUUUAAUUCAGUUUGAUUUGAUUUUUGUAUAUGGUGAGAGAUAGAGGUCUAGUUUCAUUCUUCUACAUAUACAGUUUUCCUAGUAAAAUUUAUUGAAGAGACUGUCCUUUCCUCAAUAUAUGUUAUUGGUGCUCAGUAGCAAAAUAGAAUGACUAUAGUUAACAAUAAUUUAUUGUAUAUUUUAAAAUAACUAGAGAGUGAAUUUGGAAUGUUCCCAAUGCAAAGAAAUAAUAAAUGUUUGAGGUGAUGGACAUCCCAAUUACCCUGAUUUGAUCAUUAUAUAUUAUAUGCUUGUAUCAAAACAUCACAUGUACCCCAUAAAUAUGUACAACAACUAUGUACCUAUAAAUAUUGAAAAUAAAUAAUUUUUUAAAAAGAAAA